RNAcentral lists this ribosomal RNA (492 nucleotides) under uncultured bacterium. Its description in RNAcentral is "partial 16S ribosomal RNA". It matches the Rfam family "Bacterial small subunit ribosomal RNA", at positions 29 to 507 of the family's 1533-position model. The record is from RNAcentral.
AGUGAACGCUGGCGGUAGGCCUAACACAUGCAAGUCGAACGGCAGCACAGUAAGAGCUUGCUCUUACGGGUGGCGAGUGGCGGACGGGUGAGGAAUACAUCGGAAUCUACUUUUUCGUGGGGGAUAACGUAGGGAAACUUACGCUAAUACCGCAUACGACCUACGGGUGAAAGCAGGGGAUCUUCGGACCUUGCGCGAUUGAAUGAGCCGAUGUCGGAUUAGCUAGUUGGCGGGGUAAAGGCCCACCAAGGCGACGAUCCGUAGCUGGUCUGAGAGGAUGAGCAGCAACACUGGAACUGAGACACGGUCCAGACUCCUAAGGGAGGCAGCAGUGGGGAAUAUUGGACAAUGGGCGCAAGCCUGAUCCAGACAUACCGCGUGGGUGAAGAAGGACUUCGGGUUGUAAAGCCCUUUUGUUGAGAAAGAAAAGAAGCAGGUUAAUACCGCGCUGUUCUGACGGUACCCAAAGAAUAAGCACCGGCUAACUUCGUG